UUGGUUCUAUCAGAAGUCGUUUGGCUAACCGCAAGGAGGCCAGCGCCCAAGGUAAUACCGAUGAUUGGGGUGAAGUCGUAACAAGGUAGCCGUAGGUGAACCUGCAGAAGGAUCA
Molecule: ribosomal RNA, 115 nt
Filed under: uncultured eukaryote
Lineage: Eukaryota
Description: partial small subunit ribosomal RNA
Rfam family: Bacterial small subunit ribosomal RNA
Source: RNAcentral